Molecule: long non-coding RNA, 887 nt
Organism: Drosophila simulans
Lineage: Eukaryota; Metazoa; Arthropoda; Insecta; Diptera; Drosophilidae
Exons: 3
Source: RefSeq, a predicted model, not a curated record
UAAUUGACUACUACGCUUUCUCCAAUUCCAAUUCGAUGAGUAGAUGGAGGGUGGGGGCGCUUGAUCUUGUGUAACGCCGGAAUCGAAUCCGAAAUUCUGUUUAUUGGUAUUGCGUAUUUUCAGUUUCGACAGCACGCAGCCAGCACGUGUGCAGAUUGUCUUGUAAUGUUUGGAAAACCAUUCUGAUCUGGUGUGAUGUGAUGUGAUACCCACCCAACCGGACCAAAGUCCGAAAGAACCACUUGGCGGACGAGGGGCUCGACCAGUUUUGUGACGUCUCCGGCCACUUGCAUCCGAGGAACAGAGUUAGCUGGAUUUGCUUUGGAUGUGGAUGGGGAUGGGGACUUGGAAUGGAAUGGAAUGGCAUGGGAUGGGAUCGUUUCGGGCCUAAACACUGAGACGCAUUUGCCGAACUGCUUUUAACUGCUUUUCGUCGGCUGAGCGGGAGAAAGAGUGUCAUGCCUGAUCAAAAUCGUACCAGAUCGAACUCGUUAUCGUUAUCCAAGUAAAACACCACAUAGCCAGCAAUUGAGGCGAGGCGACAAGUGUACAAAAACGAAAGAUAUAAUCGUUUCCAUUAUUAAUUGGCGCACUUUUUGCCUUUGUGACUCGGGCUCGAGUUACUUAAAAAGUAAUAAAGGCGCAUUUCACUUGGCUCAACUUGUCACCCAGCCAAUUGACAAUCGCCAUCGAGGGAUAUGCAAAGGAGUUGGAAAAUACCGGAUAUUUUCCGGCCUUUCGUGGAGCGUCUUCUGCAGAAUUGAAAUGAAUCUUCGCAUAUGAAUCAGAGCGUUGCAAUUCCCUGAAAUUAAUUGACAGCAAUUUAGGAAACGGUUUGGCAAACAUUUAUUCACGAUUUUCAAUUAAACGUUUCCAUCUUAAUCAUU